CCCAAUUUCAUGUGUCAAGGAGGCGACUUUACCGCCGGAAACGGUACCGGAGGUGAAUCCAUCUAUGGAGCCAAGUUUGCGGACGAGAACUUCAUCAAGAAGCACACGGGACCUGGCAUCCUUUCCAUGGCGAACGCUGGACCCGGAACAAACGGAUCUCAAUUCUUCAUCUGCACGACCAAGACGGAGUGGCUGGACGGAAAGCACGUGGUGUUCGGACAGGUGGUGGAAGGCAUGGAUGUGGUUAAAGCGAUUGAGAAGGUGGGGUCUAGCGGUGGGAGGACUUCCAAGCCUGUUGUUAUUGCUGACUGUGGACAGCUUUGAAAAAGGGCUUAUUGAAUUGUGUUUCCUUCAUAAUAUCUGGUCUUUUUAGGCUUCUUUUUUAUGCUAUGCUGCUUCUAUGGCUACUGGGUUUUGGUGUUUUUUAAGAAGUUGCUUGAUGUAGCUUUUUCAUUAACUGCCAUAAAUAAGAUA
Molecule: long non-coding RNA, 474 nt
Filed under: Gossypium raimondii (Peruvian cotton)
Lineage: Eukaryota; Viridiplantae; Streptophyta; Magnoliopsida; Malvales; Malvaceae
Description: long non-coding RNA (GRAI_LNC006105)
Source: RNAcentral